RNAcentral lists this ribosomal RNA (535 nucleotides) under uncultured Mycobacterium sp. Its description in RNAcentral is "bacterial SSU rRNA". It matches the Rfam family "Bacterial small subunit ribosomal RNA", at positions 54 to 606 of the family's 1533-position model. The record is from RNAcentral. Lineage: Bacteria; Bacillati; Actinomycetota; Actinomycetes; Mycobacteriales; Mycobacteriaceae.
CAUGCAAGUCGAACGGAAAGGCCCUUCGGGGUACUCGAGUGGCGAACGGGUGAGUAACACGUGGGUGAUCUGCCCUGCACUUUGGGAUAAGCCUGGGAAACUGGGUCUAAUACCGAAUAUGAUCAUCGGCUUCAUGGUCGGUGGUGGAAAGCUUUUGCGGUGUGGGAUGGGCCCGCGGCCUAUCAGCUCGUUGGUGGGGUAAUGGCCUACCAAGGCGACGACGGGUAGCCGGCCUGAGAGGGUGUCCGGCCACACUGGGACUGAGAUACGGCCCAGACUCCUACGGGAGGCAGCAGUGGGGAAUAUUGCACAAUGGGCGCAAGCCUGAUGCAGCGACGCCGCGUGAGGGAUGACGGCCUUCGGGUUGUAAACCUCUUUCAACAGGGACGAAGCGCAAGUGACGGUACCUGUAGAAGAAGGACCGGCCAACUACGUGCCAGCAGCCGCGGUAAUACGUAGGGUCCGAGCGUUGUCCGGAAUUACUGGGCGUAAAGAGCUCGUAGGUGGUUUGUCGCGUUAUGGGUGAAAACUCACA